Molecule: ribosomal RNA, 1372 nt
Filed under: uncultured bacterium
Lineage: Bacteria
Description: bacterial SSU rRNA
Rfam family: Bacterial small subunit ribosomal RNA
Source: RNAcentral
GAUAAACGCUGGCGGCGUGCCUAAUACAUGCAAGUCGAGCGAACGGACGAGAAGCUUGCUUCUCUGAUGUUAGCGGCGGACGGGUGAGUAACACGUGGAUAACCUACCUAUAAGACUGGGAUAACUUCGGGAAACCGGAGCUAAUACCGGAUAAUAUUUUGAACCGCAUGGUUCAAAAGUGAAAGACGGUCUUGCUGUCACUUAUAGAUGGAUCCGCGCUGCAUUAGCUAGUUGGUAAGGUAACGGCUUACCAAGGCAACGAUGCAUAGCCGACCUGAGAGGGUGAUCGGCCACACUGGAACUGAGACACGGUCCAGACUCCUACGGGAGGCAGCAGUAGGGAAUCUUCCGCAAUGGGCGAAAGCCUGACGGAGCAACGCCGCGUGAGUGAUGAAGGUCUUCGGAUCGUAAAACUCUGUUAUUAGGGAAGAACAUAUGUGUAAGUAACUGUGCACAUCUUGACGGUACCUAAUCAGAAAGCCACGGCUAACUACGUGCCAGCAGCCGCGGUAAUACGUAGGUGGCAAGCGUUAUCCGGAAUUAUUGGGCGUAAAGCGCGCGUACGCGGUUUUUUAAGUCUGAUGUGAAAGCCCACGGCUCAACCGUGGAGGGUCAUUGGAAACUGGAAAACUUGAGUGCAGAAGAGGAAAGUGGAAUUCCAUGUGUAGCGGUGAAAUGCGCAGAGAUAUGGAGGAACACCAGUGGCGAAGGCGACUUUCUGGUCUGUAACUGACGCUGAUGUGCGAAAGCGUGGGGAUCAAACAGGAUUAGAUACCCUGGUAGUCCACGCCGUAAACGAUGAGUGCUAAGUGUUAGGGGGUUUCCGCCCCUUAGUGCUGCAGCUAACGCAUUAAGCACUCCGCCUGGGGAGUACGACCGCAAGGUUGAAACUCAAAGGAAUUGACGGGGACCCGCACAAGCGGUGGAGCAUGUGGUUUAAUUCGAAGCAACGCGAAGAACCUUACCAAAUCUUGACAUCCUUUGACAACUCUAGAGAUAGAGCCUUCCCCUUCGGGGGACAAAGUGACAGGUGGUGCAUGGUUGUCGUCAGCUCGUGUCGUGAGAUGUUGGGUUAAGUCCCGCAACGAGCGCAACCCUUAAGCUUAGUUGCCAUCAUUAAGUUGGGCACUCUAAGUUGACUGCCGGUGACAAACCGGAGGAAGGUGGGGAUGACGUCAAAUCAUCAUGCCCCUUAUGAUUUGGGCUACACACGUGCUACAAUGGACAAUACAAAGGGCAGCGAAACCGCGAGGUCAAGCAAAUCCCAUAAAGUUGUUCUCAGUUCGGAUUGUAGUCUGCAACUCGACUACAUGAAGCUGGAAUCGCUAGUAAUCGUAGAUCAGCAUGCUACGGUGAAUACGUUCCCGGGUCU